Molecule: non-coding RNA, 30 nt
Filed under: Homo sapiens (human)
Lineage: Eukaryota; Metazoa; Chordata; Mammalia; Primates; Hominidae
Source: RNAcentral
UUAGACGGCAGCAGUCCCUCUGAUGGCUUC